UUGAGAUUCACUUCCAUUUAAAGAAAAAUACUUUCUUUUCCAGCAAAGAAUUGCUGCUCUGCAUUUAUUUAAAUUGGUUCAUGAUUUCAUUUCCAUCCUCUUUUCUACUGCUCAAGUGGGAGAAAUCUAGUGAAAGCGUAAUCUAAGGACUAAUGAGCAAACUGCUAAGUGCUGGUUUAGUGAAAGUUGAUUUUUCAGUAUUUCACUGGUUGGAAAAAGUGCACUUUUAAAGAUUUUUACCAAGUGUAUCACUAAUAUUGUGUCAGCUAUUUUCCAGUGAUCUGGAUAUGGCCAGAAGAUUGAAGUUGCAAGGGAAGAGGACGUAACUGAAAUCCUAAACACUCUUCGAGGCCAUUUCCCACCACUGUAAGUACUCUAAAUGAUGGCUGCAAGGUAUGCUUCCAAAAAGAUCAGGAAAUAUACUAAAAUGUGAGUACUGAUUAUUUUUCAGUGAGUAAAUUUUAAGAAAUGAAAAUGCUACUUCCCAUAGCUCAGGGUAAAUAAAUUUAAAAACCUAUACAAAACAGAGAAUUACCUGGGAUAACACAAUUGACCAAAACAAUCAAAAGUGCAACAAGAUAAUUCCCGCAUUUAUUAAGGUAGAAUAACUGGAUUUUUAAAAAGCUCUUCUUUAGAGUCGUUCAACAAAGAUAUUAAGUUCCAGAACUAAACAUCUUGCCUUUUGCAGCAACAUGCACGGAACUAGAGAGUAUUAUGCUCAGUGAAAUAAGUCAAUCAGAAAAGGACAAUUACCAUAUGCUCUCACUCACAUGUGGAAUUUAAGAAACAAAACAGAGGAUCAUAGAGGAAGAGAGAAGAAAAUAAAAGAAGAUGAAAUCAAAGAGGGAUACAAAAUAAUCAUGGACCUGUCUUCUGAGAUCAUUGAUUAUCUCACAAAAGUUCUUCAGCAAGUCCCUUGAUGUAGACUUAUUUAUGGCAAUCUCUUUAUAUAUAAAUAAAAUAUGUAUUUCAUCUGAAAAUAUGUUUAGUCUGUCUUCCCUUUUGAUUUUUUUUUUUCAGGAAUACAGAAGUUGAAGGUAGUUUUCUCCUAGCCCUUCAAAUGUAUUAUUCCCUGC
This 1076-nucleotide long non-coding RNA is filed under the name Mustela putorius furo (domestic ferret). RNAcentral's name for it is "lncRNA (ENSMPUG00000031257.1)". Lineage: Eukaryota; Metazoa; Chordata; Mammalia; Carnivora; Mustelidae. The record is from RNAcentral.